This is an RNA transcript of Triticum aestivum (bread wheat), 3231 nucleotides long. It is a transcript of the gene named protein ENHANCED DOWNY MILDEW 2, with no coding region annotated. The transcript has 12 exons. The record is from RefSeq and is a predicted model, not a curated record. NCBI's taxonomy places the organism in Eukaryota, Viridiplantae, Streptophyta, Magnoliopsida, Poales, Poaceae.
GUUGGAUCCUUUGCGCUAUGUGCUCGCACCCCUUCCCCCCAUAUCCCGCCCCUCCAGUGUCGCCGGCUGCGGUUCCUCCCAACCUUCUUCUGCGCUACGUGCUCUGCCCUCUCCCCCCUGGGGUUUCUGCGCUCGGAAUCCAGAAGGGGAGGCCUUCCAUCUAGCUCGUGGUGACUCCAGUGAGACUCAGAUUUGUCUCUGCUAGAAUCUUGCAAUGACAAUUUUUGACGAUGAUGAUGAUGCGGAGCCACAACUGAAGGUCGUUGACAACUACUAUUUUGAGAAAGCCAAGGACGAGUUUGUUUGUUUCAGCACCUUGCCCCUUAAGUUUGAUGAGAAUGAUAAAGUCUCCGGGAAGGGUAUCUACUUGCGUCGAUAUUCCGCAGAUGGCGCCCCUGCAGUAUACAAGCAGGUUGUAGCUUGGACAGUAGCACUUAACCGUGAGCAGCCAAAGAUCUCAGUGCUUUCAAGUGAGGGCUAUUGGAUAGAAUUGGAUCUAUUGAAACCACGGAAAAUCUAUUGGAAGUUUGCUCGAUCAGCAUUAACGACAGUUCAAAUGCUCCACUUUGUCAAAAGGCAACCCAGAAAACCGAUGAUAAGUCUUUCUGUUCACCUUCGUGAAGUAUUCAGUAAAUUUGAAACGGAAGAGAUGGAGGAUGCUUUAGGGAAACACCAUCACAUAAUCAAGCGAUGUGCAGAGAGGGAUCCUGCUUUAAUGAGGUCAAAGGUUCUGCAAAGCUUUAUCAAGGACACUUCUGGGAAAUACUUUGAGUGCAUAUUAAGGAGUCUGAGCACCAAGGAGUCAUUCAUUGUUGUUGCUGAGCCUCUUGCAAGUGGGGGUAAAGGCAAUUGCGAUACAGAUAGUGAUGGUAACAUAAUCGGCGAUGAUGGUGAUGGUACUGAGCCAAUAUGUGCAAUAUGUGACGAAGGAGGAGAAUUACUUAGCUGUAAAGGUCGAUGCAAGAGAGCCUUCCAUCCUACAAUAGAAGCUGGCAGAAAGUCUAAAUGUGUAACACUUGGUUACACUGCUGUACAAGUAAAGGAAAUGAAUAAGUUCAUAUGCGAAAACUGUAGAUAUGAACAACACUAAUGUUUCAAAUGCGGAGAACUCGACUCGUCUCAUGAGCCUAAUGCCAAGGUCUUUCAAUGUUGUAAACUGUUUUGUGGCCACUUCUACCACCCCAAGUGUGCUGCAGAAUUACUUCAGUCUCACAGUAAUGGAGCCUGUGAGUUGGAGAACAAGAUUGCAGCUGGGAUGCCAUUUCCGUGUCCUGUACAUUGGUGCUCCAGACCUGAUUGUAAAAAAAUGGAGGAAGGGACUGAAAGAGCAAUGUGGCUUGCUGGCUGCAGACGUUGUCCAAGGUCAUAUCACUUAGAUUGUUUGCCAAGGGAGAUAUGCUUUAAGUAUGGUAACGGAGGUAUACGUGCUUGGUUUCUAUCGGAAAGAAACCUAUCUAAAAGACUCAUCAUUUACUGCACAGACCAUGAGAUAGACCCAGCUAUGGGAACACCUUGCAGGGAUCAUAUAAAGUUCCCUGCUCUUCUAGAAAACAAAGGUCACGGUUCAACAGAAUCCACAAAGUUUCAGCACUCUGAGAGGAAACCAUUGUGUAGAAUUUUGAUGAUGGUCCUAAGGACUUUGAAGAUUUUGCCAAACCAGACAUGGAGGAGAGACCAAUACCAGAAGGAGUUUACAACAUCCAUGCAAGCUAAGGUGUUCUUGUCAACUACCUAUAGGGUUAAGACAUGUUGGUUAGGGUUCGAAGACAUCUUUGAAGUUUUUGAUUCAGACUUGCUUGAUAUUUCGUCCUUGAGCUAUGUUUAUGUUUAAGACUUUGCCAUAAUGGCCGUACUUAUGUAAAAGUAUUUGGUAUGUAUGGAUGUAACUUGUGAUACCAAUUUGGUUGUAAUCAUCGACAAACUGAUCAUGCUAUCGCUAUUGUAUGCAAAUGGGCAGUCCAGUCAGCUAGGUCGGGUCCCUACACAUGCCUACUAAACCGGUUUGGUUUGACUAUGAGUGAUCAUGUCGGUUUCAAGCGGUUGUUUGGUAGCAUGAUUUGUUUUGCUAGUGUGCCGAUUUUGUCGUUGGCGAUUAGCAACAAUAAACAUGCUAACAAAUAAGGCAAUUUUUGUGGCUAAAUGCCAUUUUUAUUCUGAGCUACAUGCAAGGAUUUGCUCCAUGGUUGCUCCGUAUGUCGGCUCAUGAUGCCUACGACAUAAAUGAUGUUGGGACUCGUAUUAACCAUGCAGUACAUGUCUUAAUGUUGUGCAACUAAGGGUCAUCACCCGUAGCGUUCUAAAAUUUAUGUGCAUUCUGUGGCCGCGCAGAGAUGCGAGGUACUGGGCACGACAGUGUUGCAGUCCAUAGUGGCUGGUGGUAUACCAUUUAUAUGAAUUUAUGGCAUAACAAGUUGGCAAUUAACUUAGCAAACAACCCAGUUCAACAUGAUUGACAAAUUCUUCAUCAAAGAAAAACUAGAUGUUCGAUUAUCAAGAGUGAGUAUGUGAGUUCAGGGCAACAAAUUGCAGAUUGCUUGACUAAAGGACUAGAAUAGAGAAUUCAGCUUGGUGUGUGACAAGAUGGGAAUGAUAGAUAUCGAUCGCCCCUCUUAAGGGGAAGUGUUGCUUGUGAGCCCAUAUCUAGGCUGGCACAUAAGGCCCAUGCCCAUGUACUUGACCUUGAAGAGGAGGUCGUGCAUGUUUGAGGCAUAGCGCCGCUCCCUUCCUCCUAGCUUAGCCUAACCCAACCCCCGCCCACUAGCCUCGCUGCCGGCAUAUUCUCGCCGCUAGCCCUCCAUUCCUAGCCCUCCCCGCCCAUGCGGCCCCAUGGCGUCCCCUUGUGAUAGCUCUGGCGACCUCAACCUUAGCCCCGCCAGCACGCACAACUAGAUGGACUUCGAGGGCCAGUCCUUUGCUCGGUCCUACAACGACGUCGCCCCCUCCCCCGAGCUAGGCACAAUUGCGGCUCCUUGGCGCGUUCCCGCCUCCGCUCGCCUGGGAACUUGCUUUGAGGUGCAUCGCGUCAAUGGAGGCGCGGAGGUUGACACAGGCGGCUUUCAGCUCUCGCGGUGCAAAAACCUGAUGGCUCCGCUCCGCUCCCUCCUAGCUUAGCCUAACCCAACCCCCGCCCACCAGCCUCUCUAUCGACAUAUUCUCGUCGGUAGCCCUCCACUCCCCGCCCUCCCCACCCAUUUGGCCCCAUGGCGUCCCUUCGCAAUAGAUCUGGCGACC